This 59-nucleotide transfer RNA is filed under the name Eutreptiella gymnastica. Lineage: Eukaryota; Euglenozoa; Euglenophyceae; Eutreptiales; Eutreptiaceae. The record is from RNAcentral.
CGUGUACCGCAGCGGCAAUGCAGCCGGCCGCUGCCCUGAAGAUGAAGGUUCGAUUCCUC